Long non-coding RNA from Gallus gallus (chicken), 1160 nucleotides. RefSeq lists it as uncharacterized. The record is from RefSeq and is a predicted model, not a curated record. Lineage: Eukaryota; Metazoa; Chordata; Aves; Galliformes; Phasianidae. The transcript has 2 exons.
GAGUAUCUUGUUGGAGGUCCCUGCCUACCUGAGGUCUUCCAAAGGAAAGAGCGGCAUAAGCAUUUGGAGAGAUCUGAGCAUUCCCAGCUUCAGCUUUCAAGCUGGAGAUAGGGUAUGACCAGCAACAAACAGCAACGUGCAGACCUGCCAACCUACAAUUUUCUGGUAUUCAGACUGUCAGCAAGAAAAAUGGGAGCAGAGUGUGGGCUGCAGAUUUAUUUGUAAGCAAGUGAAAUGACAGAAUUAAAAGGCAGCAGCUGCUUUGGUGUAAGGAGAUUUAUCACUGAAGACAGAGUGCAUCUCUUUCUGUGAGCUCUGAGGAGACAGCCCCCAAGUAAUACUGGGUGUACUGGCGCAUCACGGACAGAGACAACAGCUCUUAUGUGGACUUUUGUGCUAAUUCCAUAUUUCUGACAUCACGUAAGCAUGGCUUUUGCCAAGUCCCAAACCUCUCAAGACAGAUAAAAGAUACCUGUAGGAAUCCAAAGCUCUGCACCAAGGCUUCUUCAUCAUGUCAGUGAGCAUACGGGCUCUUUCUCUGGCAGUAGUAAAUGCAUGGUUUCACUUCAUAAAGAGGUAUGUCAAAACACUGCAGAAAGAUCUGUGUUGUGACCUAUGCUAUUCAAUCUAUAGAUAUCAAUCAUCUAAAAUGGAGCAAUUAGAAAGGGUGCUAAAAUUUGCUGAUUAUACAAAAAAAUACUGACACGAGUUGCACAAUUUUACAACAAUUAAUUGAGGCAAUAAAAAGACAACUGAAAUCUGAUGCAGAUCAACAGACAAGAAUAAUAGCUAUGAGGAAUGUGAAGUGUUGGUUCUGAAUAAGCUGUCCUCAAUCAGAAAGACGACCUUGGUAUUGCUAUGAAUGGUUCUCUGCCAGCAUCAGCUACACUCAGAAGUUCUCAAGAAGUCAAACAGGAUGUUAGGAAUUAAGAAGAAAGGAACAGAGGAACAUGAACUACAAGUGAUAAACUGUUACACUCACUUCAUAAAGUACUCUGAAUGCAUUUCCCAGUUGUGAUGCCUGCAAGUCUAUGAUAUAUGGUAUUCAUUUUAACAACUUAUGCAGCUAGGAGUCACGUUUAAACAGGAUCUGACCAAUCUACUGCCAGUGUCAUUGUCUGCUACGUACCCCUUUGAACACAGAAAUAAAGAACAAAGCA